GUUUCACCAGGUAUCCUGCCUGUGUUAGUUCCUCUGAGACCUUACUGAGAUUAUUCUGCAAGUGGCAAGGACAGAGUAGUCCUGAGCACCAGCUAACAGAUCUGUGGGAAGAGUGUCAAGACACAAAGGGGUGCAUUCUUUGCUGUAAGUAAUUACCUUUUUCACACUUCUUCAUCUGCAAUUGCCAAUUGUUUUGCAGCAGUGGGAAAUAUUUUAUACAAAAUAUGGCCCCAGCCCUGAAAUCAGAAAUAUGUGGGUGAUCUUUCUGUCUAUGUGAGGAUUCUUUUUAUUUCAGUGGCACUCUACAAUGGUGUUGGGUCCUUUCUCACAUGUCAGGCUGCCAUGGGUCAAAUAGUGACCUCGUGAACAUGGGACAUUUAGUCUUGUGUUGCCUAGAUUCUUUUGCGAGUGUUUCCAAACAAAAUUCAUAACAAGGAGUUGAGAAAAGUAGGCUACUCCACUCCGAAAACUCUAAGCUAUUAUUGCUCAAACUAGGGAUUGCCAGCCUUGUUGAGGCUACCAAACAGGCACUAGUGAAAUUCACUGUUCUUUUGCCUUUUUCCUUUCUACGGUGGGACAUGUGAAGCAGUGAAAAGAUGUUCUCCCGUCUCUCUUGGGAAAUUCUUUAGAGGAGGGGGAAGAAGGGGUUUGCUGCAAAAAUAAAAUUCCAAUCCAAAAUCACUUGAUUACUUUGAAAGUAGAAUUCUGGUGCUGGACACACAGUCCGGGGUUGAUCUAGGCUGCAGCUUGACUUGAUCUGUGUGAAAGUCUGCCAGUGGAAAGACCACUUCCUUCGCUGAAGUUUAAAGAAAGUAGGGAGAAAGACUUCUGGAAAGGAGAAUAACAAAAAUUAAAUUAAGAGUAAACCCAUGUAAAAGAAAGAAUCCUCUCCUUUCUUUCCCCCAAUUCCCUACUAUUCCUGUGAUGAGGGAGAUGAUUGUUCCUUGUAGGGCUUUUAUUGUUUCCCUCAUUGCCCUCUUCUUUUCCCCCUUCACAGCUCCAUUCUCCAAAGGGCUUGUUGCUGCAGAAUUACAAGGAGCUUCUAUAAAUCUCACACUUGCCAUUCAUCUGGGCUCUGCUGGUCUCACAAAUUGCUGUGAUUUAGAUACUUUAUCUAUCAGAAGGUGUCCUGCGUGGCUGGGUCAGCAUUCUGCCAAACUGUACUUCCCUCUGCCAUCGCUGCCCUCCCCCUGCUGAACCCUGUAAUUUGCGCGCUGGGCUGGGACAACGCUCAGCAGCGCUCUGCACGGGACAGGGGCUCCAGGGAGAAUGCCUUUUAUCCACAGCUGGGACAUUAAAUAGCACAUCACCCCACUGAUCGUGUCAGGCUUGGUACUCCCCGAGAGGCUUUCCAAGGCUGUUGGGGCCCAGUGUAUGCUGCAUGCAAGCCUAGUAAAAGACUUGUGGUGGUUUGGGUAUAGAAUGUGCACAAUUUGUGCCACAGAUGAAGAACAUUUUAAAAAAAACCCACCUUUUUAAAACCCAGCUGCACCUUUCUUUGAAUUUACUCUUGGGGGAUGCCACAUUCUCAUCACAUCAUGGGGUCAUGUAUCCUGGGUGCAAAUACCCUCUGUUUUCUGAAAGGAAAUUCAGAAGUAUCAAGCAGACUGCAUUAGAGAUUCAGCUGGUCUAAAUCAGCCCAAACCAUUGAUCACUGAUUGCAAAGGCUUCUGACUAGUAUAUAUGAAAGGACCUGUUCCUUUGAAACAAGCAUUGUUUCGUCUUCCCUACGUAGUGAAAUCCUGUCUGUCAAAAAGAGAAGGAGGGUAAAUCAGGCUGCAGUGAGAUGUGUUGUGUAAGCGGCAGCUGAGCUAGGUCUCCCUAGCCGGAGAUGGCAAUAGAUACCUCACCCUCAGAGCUACCAGCCUAACAGCCUGUCGUUACCCACACAGAUGCUGUUAAUAUUAAGAGAUUUAGGUAAAAAGCAUUUAACAGUAGAUAGGUAAAUAGAUAGGCAGGUAUAUUUGAUAUUUGUCCAGGACUAUACUGGCUGACAUUGGGUUAGGGACAAAGCUGAUGUGUGGUUGUAUCACCAGUUUUGAGACGACAGCCAGCUUUGGUGGGAAAGGGGAGAAGACAGCGCUGAGCAGCUCUGGGCAUCUUCAGAAGUUCUCAGAGAAGCACAUCACUCAUACUCUGAGACACCAACUGAACAGAUCAAAAAGCCAAACCUCAUCCGCCUGUCACAUCAAAAACCUACGUGUAAAACCUUAGUUUAUUGAAAGCAGCUUGUCUCACAAUACAGAGUACUUCUUUCUACCUACACACCUUUACUGGAUCCUUGAGAGGUAUAGAUCUGUCUGGGCCUGAGAAAGGAGCAGACUUGGAAAUAAUGCAGGCUGUUCUUUAUCUCAUUUGGAAGUUACAAGGGCAGUUAAACUUUCUAGAGAUUUUCUUCUAAAACCUACAAAAUGCCACUAAUCUAAUAAUAACUCACAAAAAAGUGAUGUAGAAAGAAGACUCCUGCAAAACAAAUUAAACUCAAAGUAGCACACAGGACCUUGUAUUUAGAUUGAAUUGGGAGUAAUUCAAUACUGAAGAUUAAAGGCCAAACUCUCUGCUGUUAAAAUUAGAUCUAAAUGCAAUAUUAAGCCAGCAGACUCAUUUGAAUGAUGUAAAUUCAUUCAGCUUUUCAAUACUGGGGGCGGAGGGAAGAACUUUUCAGAACGUGAACGCUGUUGUUGCAGACAUCUAAAACUCACUGUCUAAAACAUUCCUUUGGAUAAUGACUUACAGCAUUCAAAACAAGGCCAUAAGUAGAAAUACUGAAAUUCAUUACACAGGGAGACGUGCUAGGAGGCAACAGUGUGUGACUUCGUUUUGAAAGAUGCUACUCCAUUGUCAUAAUGGUCACAGGUGAGAAGAUUAUUUAGAGCUGUUACCUUGUGCUGAGACUUGGCCUUUGUAACCGCCCUGAUGACUAGUGACUCUGAAUUGAAGAGAGUGAAACGUUGAUAUGCUUUGUACUAUUUAAUGGGCUCCUCUGUAGAACGAGAGUGUGAAGUAGCUGUGAUUUGUAUCGAAAAAGGUUUUACCUUCCUAGUACUUAAACAAAUGCUCUGUGACUUUUCAGCUGUCAGAAGAUUUAAGUGAACAUCAGUAAGUCAAUCAAACACUUAAUUUUGCCAAUCAACAGUGUAAAAUUCACCUCUAAACCACCUUGAAUACUCAAAUGCAUACGUAAUGUCAGCUAUUUUUGCUAUUUGUAUGUUAUCAUUUUUCCAUUUCAUUUAGUCCAUUGCUCCUUGGAGUUCCCUUUACCUUACUGUGUAAGCUGGCAGUACUAAGUAGCUCUAUUAAUCAUUUCACCCUGGCUUUCCCAGUAGUUUAAUCAGAUGUUUACUAGAAAACAAGCACAGAUUGAAAGCUCUCCAAUAUGUACGGUACACUUACCUCUCCCUGUCAGAAACACAAAACCUAGCAGGUAAAAGCAAAACCUGUGAUUCUUUAUAGAAUGUAAAAGAUCUAUCCUGUUGAAGCUCCAGGUCAUAUUUUUGAGACCUUUUGCACAAAAUUCCAGUUUUCUCCUUGUGCACAGAAGGACCUCAAGUGCUCAUUUGAGACCAAAUGACUGGCAGGCCUCCCGUCUCUUCCUUUGCUUAUGCCAACCUCCUGGUAGGCCAUCAAGUGCCUUGACUGUUACAUACUACAAGGAAUACAAACAGGCAGCAGAAAAAAUUACUUCUCAUAAAUCCCCUGAUUUCUGCAACUAGAAACCUAAGGGUACAAUUUUGAAGGCUACAGGGGGCAGAACAGGAACAGAAAACCAGUAAACAUGAAGAACAUCUGUUUGGAUAGCUUAUACUAAACAGCUGCAGAAUGCAUGUGACCCAUUGAGGAAAGCUGCAGCAGAGGAUCAGAGCUGUAGAAGCUCUCUCUGGUGCUGGAAGGACUGUCAAAUAACUGUGUGCAAAAUAAGCUCUACUGACCUCUGAUAACAGAGGUGUAUAAAGAAUGAUCCUCACAGGCACACAUGUCUGUAUGUUUCUCUCACAUACUUGCACAUAGAUAUGACUCUAUACUUACUGGAUGACAUCUAGCUAUUCUCAAGGUCAGCUCUAUUCAGCCAUUAACUAGAGAGAUGUGAAACUAACCAUAACAAACGUAAACAUGCACUUUUACACAAUAAUCCUCGUGUGUGCAGGCAUAGGUAGCAUCAUGUUUCCAGGCUGCCUGCCUUGAAUAAAUGGGUUGGUCCAAACUCAUCUUUUAUAAAGGUUAAUUACAAAACCCUUUUGAACAUCUCAGGUUCUAUUUCCAAGACAAUGUGUUCUUGUAUCUGGAACUUGGCAGGGGACAUUUAUGAGUUUUUGACUUCUGUUUGUUAUAUACAUGACAGACUUCAGCAGUGCAAACGUGCAGAAAUGCUUUUAAUAUGUGAAAAGGCAAGUCAUGUCUGGGACGCCCAUUGGUUUUCAUGUGGCUUUGAGAAUUUUCAAAUUGUCGUUCAUAAAAUUGCUAGGCAAGGCUGCGGGCUUCCCGGGGUGUGCAGCCACCGUAUUACCGGUUGGUCGCAGUUGUUCUCUGUUCUCUGCAAGGGUUUUGUGACAGAGCCAAAAUAGAUGAGCAGAGGAAAAAUAAGGUAGAAACUUAUAUUGACAGCAGCGAUUAAAAAAAAAAAAAUCAUAAGAAUCUUCAUGCUCAUCUCCACACUGGCUAUGCAUAAUUUCUGAAAAAACUGAAAGCAAGCACAGGAGAAACGAAAAAAUAAUCCAUCUCCAAAGUCACAUUUGUUUUCUGUUACGUGUGUUUCAUCAUCUGUUUCCACUUCCUCAUUUGUCGUGCCGAGGAAGAGAAGAAGCAGGACGACCGGGACGGAUGGGAUAUGGACUCAAAUGCACGUUGUGUAUGAUGGAAAUAAUCUCAUAACGGUCCUGGUGCCACCACACCAAGCUCCAGACUCAGCAGUCCCAAAAUUAUAUUGCACUAUUUGCCUGAUCUCAGAAACAGUGGAUAAAGAAGCCCUGAAGAUGUGUAGGCACCACUCACCAGGAGCGACGGGGAUUGCAGGUGCUUCUCCCGCAGCAGGAUUUCCUCCUUGACAUUAAGCAAGGGCAAGCAAACUGAAACUAUGAGCGUUAACAAAAUUUGGAAAAGGCAGAGUGUGACUGAUUACAUCCGCCCAUCUGAAGCUCUGCUGUGCACGUCCUGGUCCCUCUUUUCUUUCCUGCUUUAGAUUGCCAGGCGAGUCUCUCGUGGUAGUGCGUAUGAAAGACACAAGGAGGGACAAGUCUUAGAUGGGCUGCCUUUUCCACUUGUAAAAAAUACAUUCCAGAGAGGGAGAAUUAACUUGGUUUUGAAAGAAGAGUUUUGCCACAUCAGCUGUUACAAACUCACAGCACUAUGGAGCUAUUUACAGAUCUGUAGUUCCAGACCAGGACCCCCAAUAAAAGCUGGUAGUGGAUUUAUUACAUUAAUUUAAGUUACCUUAUGUAAAUACAUUGUUCCUCUGGGAAGUCUGGCUCUUUUUUCCCAUUCUCUAGCAGUUUGUCUAAGCAGUACUUUGGCACUUGAUUUAUUUCUUCAGAGCAAUGGAAAUGUGGAAGGAGGGGCAUGUCCUUCAUGCUCACAUUGGCACUAGAUGGGAAGUGACUCUGACAAACUAAAGGUGAGGAAAGUGUCUUUAGAGUGCUCAUGUCUUCAAUAGCAUUUUCAGAUCCUCUUUGGCUCUACCUCUCUCUACGUGAAGACACUCAACUGCUGACACUCUAGUUACGAACACCUCACAACCCUCC
Non-coding RNA from Phalacrocorax carbo (great cormorant), 5735 nucleotides. The record is from RefSeq and is a predicted model, not a curated record. Lineage: Eukaryota; Metazoa; Chordata; Aves; Suliformes; Phalacrocoracidae.